Molecule: ribosomal RNA, 412 nt
Filed under: Salmonella enterica
Lineage: Bacteria; Pseudomonadati; Pseudomonadota; Gammaproteobacteria; Enterobacterales; Enterobacteriaceae
Also listed under: 1 other name
Description: partial 23S ribosomal RNA
Rfam family: Bacterial large subunit ribosomal RNA
Source: RNAcentral
GUCGGCUCAUCACAUCCUGGGGCUGAAGUAGGUCCCAAGGGUAUGGCUGUUCGCCAUUUAAAGUGGUACGCGAGCUGGGUUUAGAACGUCGUGAGACAGUUCGGUCCCUAUCUGCCGUGGGCGCUGGAGAACUGAGGGGGGCUGCUCCUAGUACGAGAGGACCGGAGUGGACGCAUCACUGGUGUUCGGGUUGUCAUGCCAAUGGCACUGCCCGGUAGCUAAAUGCGGAAGAGAUAAGUGCUGAAAGCAUCUAAGCACGAAACUUGCCCCGAGAUGAGUUCUCCCUGAGACUUAGAGUCUCCUGAAGGAACGUUGAAGACGACGACGUUGAUAGGCCGGGUGUGUAAGCGCAGCGAUGCGUUGAGCUAACCGGUACUAAUGAACCGUGAGGCUUAACCUUACAACGCCGAAG